Molecule: ribosomal RNA, 970 nt
Filed under: uncultured eukaryote
Lineage: Eukaryota
Description: SSU rRNA
Rfam family: Eukaryotic small subunit ribosomal RNA
Source: RNAcentral
CAGUCCUGACCGUUGUUAAUGAACGUCAGUGACUGUAUACGACUCCACUAUAGGGCGAUGGAUUAGCGCCGCGAUCGCCUGUGCCCAGCAGCCGCGGUAAUUCCAGUUCCAAUAGCGUAUACUAAAGUUGUUGCGGUUAAAAAGCUCGUAGUUGGAUCUUGGAAUGUGUUCAAGCGGGUCAGCUUCUGGCUGUGCGCUGCUUGACGUGUUCUUCUAUUUGGUUUUGGUGCGGUGCGCUUAACUGCGUGUCGCUCCCGGCCGAAACGUUUACCUUGAAAAAAUUAGAGUGUUCAAAGCAGACCUGUUUGAGUCUGAAUAUUCGUGCAUGGAAUAAUGAAAUAUGAAUUCGGUUCUAUUUUGUUGGUUUUCGGAACUCGAGUUAAUGAUCAAGAGGGACAGACGGGGGCAUUCGUACUCUGCCGUUAGAGGUGAAAUUCUUGGAUCGGCGGAAGACGCGCAACUGCGAAAGCAUUUGCCAAGAAUGUUUUCUUUAAUCAAGAACGAUAGUCGGAGGUUCGAAGACGAUCAGAUACCGUCCUAGUUUCGACUGUAAACUAUGCCAGCUAACGAUCAGACAGAGUUCUCUACGACUUGUCUGGCAGUUUCCGGGAAACCAAAGCGUUUGGGUUCCGGGGGAAGUAUGGUUGCAAAGCUGAAACUUAAAGGAAUUGACGGAAGGGCACCACCAGGAGUGGAGCCUGCGGCUUAAUUUGACUCAACACGGGGAAACUCACCCGGCCCGGACACAGUGAGGAUUGACAGAUUGAGAGUUCUUUCUUGAUUCUGUGGGUGGUGGUGCAUGGGCCGUUCUUAGUUGGUGGAGCGAUUUGUCUGGUUAAUUCCGAUAACGAACGAGACUCUGGCAUGUUAAAUAGUCGCGGAAGUGCGUAUGCACUUGCCGAAUUGACUUCUUAGAGGGACUAGUGAUUUUAAUUCACACGAGAUUGAGCAAUAACAGGUCUGUGAUGCC